RNAcentral lists this ribosomal RNA (253 nucleotides) under uncultured bacterium. Its description in RNAcentral is "partial 16S ribosomal RNA". It matches the Rfam family "Bacterial small subunit ribosomal RNA", at positions 524 to 776 of the family's 1533-position model. The record is from RNAcentral.
UACAGAGGUCUCGAGCGUUAGGCGGAAUCACUGGGCUUAAAGCGUGUGUAGGCGGAUUGGUAAGUACCUUGUGAAAUCCCACGGCUCAACCGUGGAACUGCUCGGUAUACUGCCUGUCUUGUGCAACCUAGGGGCGAGCGGAACAGAUGGUGGAGCGGUGAAAUGCGCAGAUAUCAGGAGGAACACCAAUGGCGAAGGCAGCUCGCUGGGACGGUACUGACGCUGAGACGCGAAAGCGUGGGGAGCAAACAGG